GCGACGGUAGUCAAGCGGUUAAGAUUCCGGCCUUCCAAGCCGGCGUCCCGGGUUCGAAUCCCGGCCGUCGCACCA
This 75-nucleotide transfer RNA is filed under the name Candidatus Wukongarchaeum yapensis. Its description in RNAcentral is "tRNA-Gly". It matches the Rfam family "tRNA". Rfam says of the family: Transfer RNA (tRNA) molecules are approximately 80 nucleotides in length. The record is from RNAcentral. RNAcentral also lists the same sequence under 1 other name. Lineage: Archaea; Promethearchaeati; Candidatus Wukongarchaeota; Candidatus Wukongarchaeia; Candidatus Wukongarchaeales; Candidatus Wukongarchaeaceae.